GAAGGCGCCCGAUCUCGUCUGAUCUCGGAAGUCUAAGC
RNAcentral lists this ribosomal RNA (38 nucleotides) under Bison bison bison. Lineage: Eukaryota; Metazoa; Chordata; Mammalia; Artiodactyla; Bovidae. The record is from RNAcentral.